UUCACUACAAUAGUCAUGUAUGUUGGAAAUCGUCAGUCAGACCUUUCCUCCACAUCCACAAAAAUGAAAAUCACGUAUUUCUGAUUGGAGAGACAAAAGAUCCCAACUAAGGAUGCAAUUACUUCUCAGCUGAUACUACAACUCUCUGAAGAGAGCAAUCCUUCUUUCAACGUCCCUCAAAGUCGAAAACCAGGUCUGAAGAACAAGAUGACCAAAUGCAGAAAGCAAACAGAACUUCUUAAAAGAUCAGCUGUCUUUCCAUCAGGGUCAGAAAGUGUAUCCUCCUAUCGCAGCCUGGUUAAUUAUACAUCACCGUGGCAACUAAGUAGAGCCAAGAUUUGCUAUUUCAACUUCCUGAUGCUCUCCUCCUAAAG
Long non-coding RNA from Corvus hawaiiensis (hawaiian crow), 374 nucleotides. RefSeq lists it as uncharacterized. Lineage: Eukaryota; Metazoa; Chordata; Aves; Passeriformes; Corvidae. The record is from RefSeq and is a predicted model, not a curated record. The transcript has 4 exons.